AGCCCGGUGGUGUAGCGGUCAAGCAUGGGGGCCUCUGGAGCCCCUGACGGGAGUUCGAAUCUCCCCCGGGCUACCA
This 76-nucleotide transfer RNA is filed under the name Thermococcus sp. Its description in RNAcentral is "tRNA-Gln". It matches the Rfam family "tRNA". From Rfam's summary of the family: Transfer RNA (tRNA) molecules are approximately 80 nucleotides in length. Their secondary structure includes four short double-helical elements and three loops (D, anti-codon, and T loops). The record is from RNAcentral. RNAcentral also lists the same sequence under 2 other names. Lineage: Archaea; Methanobacteriati; Methanobacteriota; Thermococci; Thermococcales; Thermococcaceae.